RNAcentral lists this ribosomal RNA (372 nucleotides) under uncultured organism. RNAcentral's name for it is "bacterial SSU rRNA". It matches the Rfam family "Bacterial small subunit ribosomal RNA", at positions 526 to 896 of the family's 1533-position model. The record is from RNAcentral.
CAUGGGGUGCAAACGUUGCUCGGAAUUAUUGGGCGUAAAGCGCGCGUAGGCGGUUACUCAAGUCGGAUGUGAAAGCCCUCGGCUUAACUGAGGAAGUGCACCCGAAACUGAGUAGCUAGAGUACUAAAGAGGGUCGCGGAAUUCCCGGUGUAGAGGUGAAAUUCGUAGAUAUCGGGAGGAACACCGGUGGCGAAGGCGGCGACCUGGGUAGAUACUGACGCUGAGGCGCGAAAGCGUGGGGAGCAAACAGGAUUAGAUACCCUGGUAGUCCACGCCGUAAACGAUGGGUGCUAGAUGUUUCUGGUAUUGACCCCGGAGGCGUCGUAGCUAACGCGUUAAGCACCCCGCCUGGGGAGUACGGCCGCAAGGCUA